UAAGUUAGGAGUGAAAUACACAGGCUUAACCUGUGGCCCGCUCUUAAUACUGCUUUUCUUGAGUAUGGGAGAGGAAGAUGGAAUUUCCAGGUGUACCGGUGGAAUGCGUAGAUAUCUGGAAGAACACCAGUAGCGAAGGCGGUCUUCUGGCCCAAUACUGACGCUGAGGCUCGAAAGCUAGGGGAGCAAACAGGAUUAGAUACCCUGGUAGUCCUAGCCGUAAACGAUGGACACUAGUUGUCGGGGGAGUCAAUCCCUUCGGUGACGAAGCUAACGCAUUAAGUGUCCCGCCUGGGGAGUACGCUCGCAAGGGUGGAACUCAAAGGAAUUGACGGGGGCCCGCACAAGCGGUGGAGCAUGUGCUUUAAUUCGAUGCAACGCGAAGAACCUUACCUGGGUUUGACAUGGGGGUGAAAGUAACCAGAGAUGGAUACCUUUCCUUCGGGAACACCCUACACAGGUGCUGCAUGGUUGUCGUCAGCUCGUGUCGUGAGAUGUUGGGUUAAGUCCCGCAACGAGCGCAACCCCUACCCUUAGUUGCCAGCGGGUUAUGCCGGGAACUCUAGGGGGACUGCCUGGACUAACCAGGAGGAAGGUGGGGAUGACGUCAAAUCCUCAUGGCCCUUACGCCCAGGGCUAGACACGUGCUACAAUGGCCGGUACAAUAGGCUGCGAACUCGCGAGAGUAAGCUAAUCCGAUAAAACCGGCCUCAGUUCGGAUUGGAGUCUGCAACUCGACUCCAUGAAGGUGGAAUCGCUAGUAAUCGCGGAUCAGCAUGCCGCGGUGAUACGUUCCCGGGCCUUGUACACACCGCCCGUCAAGCCAUGAAAGACGGUAGUGCCCGAAGUCGUUCCCCUAACCCUCGGGAAGGGUGCGCCGAAGGUAAGACCGUGAUUGGGG
Molecule: ribosomal RNA, 901 nt
Filed under: uncultured organism
Description: bacterial SSU rRNA
Rfam family: Bacterial small subunit ribosomal RNA
Source: RNAcentral